RNAcentral lists this ribosomal RNA (292 nucleotides) under uncultured bacterium. RNAcentral describes it as "partial 16S ribosomal RNA". It matches the Rfam family "Bacterial small subunit ribosomal RNA", at positions 505 to 796 of the family's 1533-position model. The record is from RNAcentral.
GUGUCAGCCGCCGCGGUAAUACGUAGGGGGCAAGCGUUGUUCGGAAUUACUGGGCGUAAAGGGCGCGUAGGCGGCACGACAAGUCGGGAGUGAAAGCCCGGGGCUCAACCCCGGAACUGCUUUCGAAACUGUCGAGCUAGAGUGCGGAAGAGGCAAUCGGAAUUCCCAGUGUAGCGGUGAAAUGCGUAGAUAUUGGGAAGAACACCGGAGGCGAAGGCGGAUUGCUGGGCCGACACUGACGCUGAGGCGCGAAAGCCAGGGGAGCGAACGGGAUUAGAUACCCUAGUAGUCC